UACGUAGGGUCCGAGCGUUGUCCGGAAUUAUUGGGCGUAAAGAGCUCGUAGGCGGUUUGUCGCGUCUGCUGUGAAAUCCCGAGGCUCAACCUCGGGUCUGCAGUGGGUACGGGCAGACUGGAGUGCGGUAGGGGAGAAUGGAAUUCCUGGUGUAGCGGUGGAAUGCGUAGAUAUCGGGAGGAACACCAGUGGCGAAGGCGGCGUCCUGGACCGGCACUGACGCUGAGGCACGAAGGUCAGGGGAGCAAACGGG
RNAcentral lists this ribosomal RNA (253 nucleotides) under uncultured bacterium. RNAcentral describes it as "partial 16S ribosomal RNA". It matches the Rfam family "Bacterial small subunit ribosomal RNA", at positions 524 to 776 of the family's 1533-position model. The record is from RNAcentral.